AACGAACGCUGGCGGCGCGCUUAACACAUGCAAGUCGAACGGUCCCGAUAAAGCCGUAAGGUGAUAUCGGGGUAGUGGCAAACGGGUGAGUAACACGUGGAUAAUCUACCUUUGAGUGGGGGAUAACUCUGCGAAAGUGGAGCUAAUACCGCGAAGACUACAGAAUCGCAUGAUUCAGUAGUAAAAGGUUUUCGAUUUUCGGAGGUCGCUCAGGGAUGAGUCCGUGCCUGAUUAGCUAGUUGGUAGGGUAAUAGCCUACCAAGGCAACGAUCAGUAGCCGGCCUGAAAGGGUGUUCGGCCACACUGGAAUUGAGAUACGGUCCAGACUCCUACGGGAGGCAGCAGUGGGGAAUCUUGCGCAAUGGGGGAAACCCUGACGCAGUGACGCCGCGUGAACGAUGAAGUCCUUCGGGAUGUAAAGUUCUGUCAGGCGGGAAGAACUCCCUCGAUUGCAUCGGGGGAAUGACGGUACCGCCAGAGGAAGCACUGGCUAAUUCCGUGCCAGCAGCCGCGGUAACACGGAGAGUGCAAGCGUUGUUCGGAAUUACUAGGCGUAAAGAGCGUGUAGGUGGUUAGCUAAGUCGGAUGUGAAAAUUCCAAGCUCAACUUGGAACGUGCAUUCGAAACUGGUUAACUUGAGUGUAGGAGAGGAGAGCGGAAUUCCUAGUGUAGCGGUGAAAUGCGUAGAUAUUAGGAGAACACCGGUGGCGAAGGCGGCUCUCUGGCCUAAAACUGACACUGAGACGCGAAAGCGUGGGUAGCGAACAGGAUUAGAUACCCUGGUAG
Molecule: ribosomal RNA, 786 nt
Filed under: uncultured delta proteobacterium
Lineage: Bacteria; Deltaproteobacteria
Description: bacterial SSU rRNA
Rfam family: Bacterial small subunit ribosomal RNA
Source: RNAcentral